This 253-nucleotide ribosomal RNA is filed under the name uncultured bacterium. Its description in RNAcentral is "partial 16S ribosomal RNA". It matches the Rfam family "Bacterial small subunit ribosomal RNA", at positions 524 to 776 of the family's 1533-position model. The record is from RNAcentral.
UACAGAGGGGGCCAGCGUUAUUCGGAAUUAUUGGGCGUAAAGGGCGCGUAGGCGGCUUUGCGUGUCUUUCGUGAAAUCCCUCGGCUCAACUGAGGACGUGCGGAAGAAACUGCAGGGCUGGAGUCCGGGAGAGGAGGGUGGAAUUCCCAGUGUAGCGGUGAAAUGCGCAGAUAUCGGGAAGAACACCCGUGGCGAAGGCGGCUCUCUGGGACGGUACUGACGCUGAGACGCGAAAGCGUGGGGAGCGAACAGG